UACGUAGGGUGCGAGCGUUAAUCGGAAUUACUGGGUUUAAAGGGUGCGCAGGCGGUUGUUUAAGUCAGGGGUGAAAGCCCUAUGCUCAACAUAGGGAUUGCCUUUGAUACUGAACGGCUAGAGUGAAGAUGGAGUGGGUGGAAUGUGUUGUGUAGCGGUGAAAUGCAUAGAUAUAACACAGAACACCGAUCGCGAAGGCAGCUCACUAAUUUUCAACUGACGCUCAUGCACGAAAGCGUGGGGAGCAAACAGG
Molecule: ribosomal RNA, 253 nt
Filed under: uncultured microorganism
Description: partial 16S ribosomal RNA
Rfam family: Bacterial small subunit ribosomal RNA
Source: RNAcentral